RNAcentral lists this transfer RNA (62 nucleotides) under Hylurgus micklitzi. RNAcentral describes it as "tRNA-Asp". It matches the Rfam family "tRNA". Rfam says of the family: Transfer RNA (tRNA) molecules are approximately 80 nucleotides in length. Their secondary structure includes four short double-helical elements and three loops (D, anti-codon, and T loops). Lineage: Eukaryota; Metazoa; Arthropoda; Insecta; Coleoptera; Curculionidae. The record is from RNAcentral.
AAAAAUUUAGUUAAACUAUAACGUUAGCCUGUCAAGCUAAAAUUGAUAUCCAUCAAUUUUUA